AGAGUUUGAUCCUGGCUCAGAACGAACGCUGGCGGCGUGUUUAAGACAUGCAAGUCGAACGGGGAGAAUGAGUAGCAAUACGAUUUCUUCUAGUGGCGCACGGGUGAGUAACACGUGAAUUACAUGCCCUUCAGUGGGGAAUAGCCCAGGGAAACUUGGAUUAAUACCUCAUGGUCUCGCAAGAGUAAAGGCGGCGCAAGCUGCCGCUGAAGGAUUGGUUCGCGCCCUAUCAGCUAGUUGGUGAGGUAAUGGCUCACCGAGGCGACGACGGGUAGCCGGUCUGAGAGGACGAUCGGCCACACUGGAACUGAGACACGGUCCAGACACCUACGGGUGGCAGCAGUCGAGAAUAAUUCACAAUGGGGGAAACCCUGAUGGUGCAACGCCGCGUGGAGGAUGAAGGUCUUCGGAUUGUAAACUCCUGUCAUCCGGGAGUAAGACCUGGCGGUGAAUAGCCGACAGGGUUGAUAGUACCGGAAGAGGAAGGGACGGCUAACUUCGUGCCAGCAGCCGCGGUAAUACGAAGGUCCCAAGCGUUGUUCGGAAUCACUGGGCGUAAAGGGUGCGUAGGCGGUUUGGUAAGUCAGAUGUGAAAUCCCGGNG
RNAcentral lists this ribosomal RNA (603 nucleotides) under uncultured freshwater bacterium. Its description in RNAcentral is "bacterial SSU rRNA". It matches the Rfam family "Bacterial small subunit ribosomal RNA", at positions 8 to 607 of the family's 1533-position model. The record is from RNAcentral.